UCAUACUUUGUGUAGUUCCCCUUUUUAAAAUAUUUUCGUAUGUACUUUCUGCAGGUUUAUUUAUUUAUUUAUUUUUUGAAGCUGGUAAAGUUUACUUUCUGCAAACUUUUGUUCUUCUCUUUUUAGUUUGAAUCAACUUUAGAGAUCUUUCUUGAAUUUGUGCUUCUUAGUUGUUGGAGAAGGUGCUUUCUCCUGUUGAACUCAUCAAAUUGUUCUGAACUUGAUAAACUCGUAGUACUUUCUCUUGUUGACUGAAACAUAAUUGAUGCUGGAAUCUGGAUAGGUUUUGUGAGAUGGCCAAUAGGGUCUCGUUCUCUAGAGGACUGUGGCAACUGGAAACGGGUAGGUAAUAGCAGCUGCUAUGGAAUACCACCAUUGUAAAGGACUGAAAAUGAAUUUGUGAGCCACCAUACAGCAUGCACGGUCUUACAACUUUUUGAAGUACCUAUCUUUCUGGCUGACAGAAAGUCAGUCACUCUGCCUCAUCUAUCUUCAACCAAGCAUUAUUUAUAUAACAUGUUUUUAUGUAGAAUUUGGAUAAUCUCAGGUAUUUUAAAGGCAAGAUCUGCAUUGGUCAUUCUUGUUUGGCCAAGAUUUUUUUUUUUUUUUUUUACUGUUAAAAGUUUUAGAUUUAUGAGAUGAGAUUUGUUAGAGGGGUUAGAAUCAACUUCUUUGAUUUUGUGUGUCAUCGUUAAUCUAGAAAACAUUCUUCCAGGAAUCAACAUCUGACACUCUGGCUUCCAUGAUAUCUGCCUCCUACUUUUGCCAGCAGUGAGCCCUCAAUUCUGCCCCUCUCCUGAAGUCUACUUUCCUUUCUUCACUUCCUCGAGCCCUGCCUUUUGUUCUGAAAGUGUACACUCUCACCAAUAAUCCUAGUGACAGCAUUCUGGCAUGUCAAUGACCCAAUUUUCAAUUGACUAAAACACCCUUAGUUUCCAGACUGCUCUGCUCCGUGCCAUUAUUUACAUUAUUAGCUCGAUGAUCUGAAGCUAUUUUAGGUUUGUUUAUCACAGACUUUUACAUUUUAAAGUUUGUACAGUCUCAGUUUUGCUGUCACAAUUUCAUGUGAAUAAUGAGGGUAUGGAAAGUUUGAUACGAGUAUGGAUUCUUGCUUAUAAUUUAUCCACUUGGUUAUGUCGAAUCUGAUUGACUAUCCAUCCUAAAAACAAGAUGUGGAACUUGAUUUACUUGUUUUUCUUUCAGUUUGGAUUUUCAAAUCAAGUCGAAGGACAGCUUGCAAAAAGAUUCUGUUACGAUUCCUCUAUGACCCCUCUGUGCACCUGUGUGAGAAGAGACUUAGAUGCUGAUCUAUGUCCGGAAUUUGCAUGAUGUUUCCUUGAGUUGAUACUGAAGACCUGGUCCAAAUAGAGGAAAAUGGAUAAUGAGGAUUCAUAUGCCGACCCAACUAGCCUGGGAUUUGUUGUUGUACUUGAUGUUUGCAAACCUCCCAACGAUGAUGGAUCUGGUGGAUGCAUGACUAGAAGGCUAGAAGCUUACGUUAGGAAGCAAUAGGUAUUUGUUAACACAGAUAAUCAGGGGGUAGUCUAACAGCACACGCAUGCAACAUCAAACAACAGGCAUAUGGAAUAUAGUGACAUUAACAAGUCCUGUUUAAUAUUGCUAUUUGCACUAUAGCUAACAUGACUGAACCACUGGUCUAUAUCGAUGCUUCUUGGACUCCUCUUCUUCAGUUGCUGCUCAUAGAGUGUGCCCUUAGGGCUUGCAGCUCUGCAGUCUAUCUGAUGGAUUUGUUAAUCUGCAGUUUUAUGAACUUCCAUCUUCAGAAGAGAACUAUUAAUUUAACCAGUGACAGAUAACCCUAACCGAAACAAGCACUUUUUCAUUUUUUUUAGUCUUGAACAAGCACUUUUUCAUAUGAAUUUACUAGCUAUGCUGAACUUUCUGUACCGUUGCUAGUCCUGUUAAGGUAAAUUUUUAUUUUUAUUGUUCCCUGUUAAGGUAAAAUCUUAUGAGAGAGUUUUGCAAUAGUUUUCCAUUCUAUCUAGACUUUUAUGCAUUGAGAUAUUUAACAGAAGAGCUUGGCAUUGUUCCUUCAUGAUGAAGCUCCCUGCUACCCCCUCUUUUUUCUCCAUUAGCAGAGGAUGGCUGCAUUAUCUUGAUGAAUUCUGCAAUGGAAUUUUCACAUUUCAGGAUGUACAAAGGGCUUUGUCCAAAUUACUGGUGAUCAGUGCUAUAUGGUCCUUUGACCUGGAGACUGUUGGAAUGGCUGCACAAGGCUCUUGUGCCCUAUAUAGUAUCAUCGCUAGAAGAAAACAACUAUGCCUCAGGCCUCUAAUUUUGUAUAUUGAAGUAGUUAUUUUCCUUCCAAUUUUCAUAAUCUGUACCAAACUUAUGUUCUUCUGAGCCUCUGACAAACAAUAAAAAAGGAAAAUCACUUGCUUCAGUA
Molecule: long non-coding RNA, 2407 nt
Organism: Lycium ferocissimum
Lineage: Eukaryota; Viridiplantae; Streptophyta; Magnoliopsida; Solanales; Solanaceae
Exons: 3
Source: RefSeq, a predicted model, not a curated record